AAAUUGCGGUAGCUCCUCUCCUCCUCCCUGGGGCUGCCGCACAAAAUUCCGGGCCCACGGCCCAACAGACAGCAAGACGUUCUCUCCUCCUCCCUGAACGUUUUGCCGAAAAGAACGGCGGCGCUCUCCUCCCUUGCGUCGCCGUUUUUCU
RNAcentral lists this small RNA (151 nucleotides) under Shimia gijangensis. Its description in RNAcentral is "Pseudopelagicola gijangensis Alphaproteobacterial ar14". It matches the Rfam family "Alphaproteobacterial ar14". Rfam says of the family: Smr14C2 was renamed NfeR1 (Nodule Formation Efficiency RNA) highly expressed in salt stress and during the symbiotic interaction on legume roots. The record is from Rfam by way of RNAcentral. Lineage: Bacteria; Pseudomonadati; Pseudomonadota; Alphaproteobacteria; Rhodobacterales; Roseobacteraceae.